Molecule: ribosomal RNA, 849 nt
Filed under: Triticum aestivum (bread wheat)
Lineage: Eukaryota; Viridiplantae; Streptophyta; Magnoliopsida; Poales; Poaceae
Description: partial small subunit ribosomal RNA
Source: RNAcentral
UCAGGUGUCCCAUAUCAUGACGACGGCGAUGACCCCGACGCCGAGCACGACGGCGAGCCAGCGGCCGAGGGGCGUGUCGGCGGCGACGGGCCGCUGGGGCUUGUACCCCUUGGAGAGGAGGUGGUUGACGGAGACGUAGAUGAAGAUGCCGGUGGCGAGGCCCAUGGAGACGGCGAAGAUCCAGUCGGCCACGGCGCCCUGCGUGGUGGCGUCGAUGGCGAUGCCGACGGCGACGCCGAUGGGGCUGGAGACGGCGAAGGCGAAGGCGUAGGCGAAGCAGGAGAGCAGCGGCCGGUUGGGCAGCAUCCGGAGCAGCGCGAUGCCCAUGGCCACCGCCGCGAACACCUUGUGCAGGCUGAUCGUCCACAGCGCCUUCCACGCGUCCGCCUUCGUCUCGGCGACUCCGAUGGCGAUGCCCUCGAAGACGGAGUGGAAGCAGAGCGCUGCGAUGAGCAGUAUGCUGUCGCCGAGGGUGCUGGCGUUCCGCAGCAUCGACGCCGUCGAGUGGCCCGUCGCCGACGGCCCGUGCGCGUCCUGCUCAGCUGCUUGUUGAUCCGAGCCGUUGCCAUUCGUGCUGCUCAGCUUGCCCUCCUCCAGCUCCCCCGGGGCGGCGGCGGCGGCGGGCGCGGUGCGGCCGCGCGCGACGACGGAGGAGAUGGCGCACUCGGCGAGCAUGGUGAGGACGUAGCCGGCGCAGGCGAGCAUGAAGGCGAACGGGUACUCGCUGUGGGGGAGGAGGUCCCCGAAGGUCUCGUUGGCGUCGCUGAGGAAGUGCAUCAUGGCGGUGCUGAGGAAGACCCCGCCGGCGAACUGCGUGCCCAGCGCCAGGAACGCCUCGUUCCACCGCAU